This 309-nucleotide long non-coding RNA is filed under the name Zostera marina. RNAcentral's name for it is "long non-coding RNA (ZMAR_LNC002685)". The record is from RNAcentral. Lineage: Eukaryota; Viridiplantae; Streptophyta; Magnoliopsida; Alismatales; Zosteraceae.
UUUAUUUUAAAGGCUUUAUUUAAUAAAGCCCAUUACGUUUCAUUUAAUAAAGCCUCAUUUGAAGGCUUUAUUGUAAUAAGUUUAAAUCUUAUAAGCCUCUCCUUAUAAGUCUUUGAAACCCUAGCCGUUUUAUAAGUCCUCUCCACUUUCUUUUCUUUUUCAGUUCUUCUCCUCCACAUUUCCUCCAUAUUUCUUUGACUCUCCACCAUUAGAAUUUUUUUCCUUCUUCUUCUCCUUCACAUUUCUUUGAUUCUCCACCAUCUGAAUUUUUUCUUCUUCUUUUCCUCCACAUUUGAUAUAACAGGGAUA